ACUGUGCAGUCAGCUGGCCAUGCCCUGCAUGUCUUUAUCAACGGGCAGCUUGCGGGGUCUGCUUAUGGGACCAGGGAAAAUAAGCGAAUCAAAUAUAGUGUGAAUGUGAACCUUCGUGCCGGAACUAACAAAAUUGCACUGCUAAGUGUGGCUAUGGGACUGCCGAAUGUUGGGGUUCAUUAUGAGUUGUGGAACACUGGAGUUCUAGGUCCUGUGGUGCUACGAGGGCUCGAUGAAGGAAAUCGAGACCUAACCUGGCAGAGAUGGUCAUACCAGGUUGGCCUGAAAGGAGAAGCAAUGAAUCUGAACUCUUUAGAUGGCACUUCGUCUGUCGGAUGGAUGACAUGGCCAUUGACAGUUCAAGAGCAGCAACCAUUGACAUGGUUUAGGGCUUACUUUGAUGCUCCUGCCGGAGAUGAGCCAUUGGCUUUGGAUAUGGGUAGUAUGGGAAAGGGUCAAGUGUGGAUUAAUGGACAAAGCAUUGGAAGAUACUGGACUGCAUAUGCCCCAAAUGGGUAUUGCGGCGGGUGCAAUUACGCUGGAACGUAUCGGCCACCAAAGUGCCAAAGUGGUUGUGGCCAACCAACUCAACGCUGGUACCAUGUACCACAAUCAUGGUUACAGCCAACCAAAAAUCUCCUGGUAGUAUUUGAAGAACUUGGUGGUGACGCAACGAAGAUUUCUCUGGUGAAAAGAUCGGUCUCUGGUGUAUGUGCAGAUGUUUCCGAGGGGCAUCCGAUGAUAAAGAACUGGCACAUUGAUAGCUAUGGUCAGCCAGAGGAGCACCGCCGGCCAAAGGUCCACCUUCGGUGUGCACCAGGGCAGUCUAUUUCGGCUAUCAAAUUCGCAAGCUUCGGCACUCCGUUGGGAACUUGUGGCAAUUUUCAGCAGGGAGCCUGCCACUCACCGGACUCUCACACUAUCCUGGAGAAGAGGUGCAUUGGGCAGCAGGUGUGUGCAGUGACGAUAUCCGCGACCAACUUCGGUGGUGACCCAUGCCCCAACGUGCAGAAGCGAGUGGCCGUCGAAGCCGUUUGCGCCCCGACCAGUCAGCCAAUUUCCUGAGCUUCUCAAUAGCCAAGUGUGAUCCAGUAGUCAGCCCUCAACCAAGUUCAAAUGUACCAUAAAAAAUGGCCCAGAGGGAUAUUACAGCAAAGCUGGUAAAUAUAUAUACACAGGAUAAGCUGCUGAUUGUAGAUCGUAGCUGAUGGUUA
Molecule: unclassified non-coding RNA, 1214 nt
Filed under: Hevea brasiliensis (rubber tree)
Lineage: Eukaryota; Viridiplantae; Streptophyta; Magnoliopsida; Malpighiales; Euphorbiaceae
Source: RNAcentral